CGUCCGAAUACUUUUAGUUUUCGCACUCUAACUUUAGUAAAAGUGAAUGGAAAUCUAUGAAAUUUUAACACAAGGUUUAUGACCACAAAAGGAAGGUCGGUAUUGAUUUUGGGAGUUUUGGUCCCAACAUUUUAGGAAUUAGGGGCCAAAAAGGGCCCAAAUAAGCAUUUUCUUGGUUUUCGCACUAUAACUUUAGUUUAAGUUAAUAGAAAUCUAUGAAAUUUUGACACAAGGUUUAUGACCACAAAAGAACGGUUGGGAUUGAUUUUGGGAGUUUUGGUUUCAACAGUUUAGGAAUUAGGAGCCAAAAAAGGGCCCAAAUAAGCAUUAUUCUUGGUUUUCGCACAAUAACUUUAGUUUAAGUAAAUAGAAAUCAAUGAAAUUUAAACACAAUGUUAAUGACUACAAAAGGAAGGUUGGUAUUGAUUUUGGGAGUUUAGAUCCCAACAGUUUAGGAAUUAGGGGCCAAAAAGGGACCCAAAUAAGCAUUUUUCUUGGUUUUCGCACCAUAACAUUAGUAUUAGUAAAUAGAAAUCUAUGAAAUUUAAACACAAGGUUUAUGACCAUAAAAGGAAGGUUGGUAUUGAUUUUGGGAGUUUUGGUCCCAACAGAAUAAGGGGCCCAAAGGGUCCAAAUUAAACUUUGUUUGAUUUCAUCAAAAUUGAAUAAUUGGGG
Molecule: long non-coding RNA, 675 nt
Filed under: Mytilus galloprovincialis (Mediterranean mussel)
Lineage: Eukaryota; Metazoa; Mollusca; Bivalvia; Mytilida; Mytilidae
Source: RNAcentral